AUGAGAACGCGGGGCAGGUGGGGACGGACAGGUGGAUGGGGCCAGAGCCGUGGAUCUGCAAGGGUUGGCGGGAGGGGAGGUCCAGCCGCAUUCUCCCUGGGGUUCCCAGGACGCGGUCUCCAGGCCCCGCUGAGUUGGGAGGGGCCAGGAGAAAAGCCCCCAAGGUCUCCGUCUAGAAACCUGCAAGGAAAGUGUGUCCUCUGGGCUGGGCUGGCGGAGAAUCGGAGAAUCGGCGUGGGGACCCCUGCAUGGCGGCGGGGGCUCCGGGAAUUGAGGCGGGGGGGGGGCCGGGCGGGUCUUGGGUGGCAAGCCCAGCCCGAGCGCCUCUGCCUGAGCCCCAGUUGCUCCAUCCUAAGAACACCUGCGUGGCCGCACGGCCUGGAGGGCUCUCUGGGCUUUCGGAGGAGCGGAGGCGGGCCCCCGCACUUCUCGCUCGGGCCACCCGGGCGGGUUGCGGGGGUUGGAGGGCCGGACCAGGGUGCAGGUCCGCAGGGUGGGGCCGAGGUGGAAGCCGCUCCGUUGCUACGGGCGGCUCUAGCAACGCACCCAUUCAGCAGAGACAAAGGCGCUGUCACUUGGCGCAGAGGCGCCGCCAGCGCUCUUGUUCCCGCAGCCACGCUGCGGGGCGGGGGCGGGGGCGGCUGGGGGGAGGGGCCGCUCAGGCCCCACUCGGUCUCCGGCCGGUGCCUGGCCCUGCGCCCUCCCGACCAGCCUGCAGGGGGCGCCCCAGGCCCGUUUUGCAGAAGGGGAAGCUGCGCUCCAAGGCACUGAGGCACCCGGCAUGCGUGGCGGCCGGGCCACACAGCCCCGGGUGCAAAUGCGUCCGCGCCUCCCUCGCCACGUUACUACCGCUGUGCGACUUGGGGGGGCUCGCCCCUCUGCGGUCCCUGGAUCAGAAGCUGCAGAUGUCUGGGCUUAGCUCGGAGCCCGGCCCCAGGUGGAGCUCCAGGAACCCGCUUCUUGCCCCUCAAGGGCGGGUUUGAGGCUGCGCCGGGUUGGUUUAUGGUUGGGGGAACCAUGGAGCCGGCUUAGCUUCCGCGGCUUUGGCCCCGCCCCAGCAGGGUCCCCAGGCUUGCCCAGCUGCCACAGGUCACCGCAUCUUGCUUCAGGCCGGGCAGGAAAGCACUUGUUUCUCACGGGUGUGGGAGGCGGCUCAGACCACCAGGCACCAAGACAGGGGCCCUCCGCGGCGGGAGGCUGGGCUUGGGGGGCACAGGAAGGCAGCACCCCCUCUGGACGGGGUCUCCAUCCCUAACUGUGGCCCCUGGGGGGAGCCCCGCCUUUCACGGCUUCUGAAGGAGCCCCAUCAGGCCCCACCAAGGGGCACGGUGAGGGGAGGGCCCCUUACACUGUGUCAUUCUGCUAGUGGGGCAGACGGGGUGUCCAGGCCCCCAGGGAAGAGGGACCCUUUGAGGUGCCAGCGCUACCUGAAGCCUUGAAUGCCGUCAGCUCCACAGCCUAGGGACAGAGAGGGACCAUCAGGGGCGGGAGUGGGGAGGGGAGGCCCACUCUUCCCGCUUUCCCAGGGCCCUUGGUGCCCCGCCCCCGGGGUCCUUGGCAUUCAGGUGCAGCCAGCAACAAUCCCGACAUCGACAUCGUCAGUCUGGGAACAGAUCCCAGGGGAUGCCCCCACCCCAGCCCUACCAGAGUCCCUGCGGCUCCCCUGACGCCGCAGGCCACCCCUGCCAGGCCCUUGGCCAAGCCCAGGGGCCACACCCUGUCCGGCCUCACCGGUCUCUCGGGCUCCGCAAUGGAGGAGAAGGCUGUGGGG
This 1771-nucleotide long non-coding RNA is filed under the name Oryctolagus cuniculus (rabbit). Its description in RNAcentral is "lncRNA (ENSOCUG00000035918.1)". Lineage: Eukaryota; Metazoa; Chordata; Mammalia; Lagomorpha; Leporidae. The record is from RNAcentral.